AGGACGAACGCUGGCGGCGUGCUUAACACAUGCAAGUCGAGCGGAAAGGCCUUUCGAGGUACUCGAGCGGCGAACGGGUGAGUAACACGUGAGUAAUCUGCCCAUCGCUUCAGGAUAGCCAUCGGAAACGGUGAUUAAUACUGGAUAUGACAUUCCUUCGCAUGUUGGGGUGUGGAAGUUUUUCGGCGGUGGAUGUGCUCGCGGCCUAUCAGCCUGUGGUGGGUAAUGGCCUACAGGCUUUGACGGUAGCCGGCUGAGAGGGUGACCGGCCACACGUGGGACUGACGACCACGGCCCAGACCUCCGUACGGGACGCGAGCAGGUGGGAAUAGUUGGACAAGUGGGACGGAAGCCUGAUCCGAGACAACCGGCCGCGGUGGAACGGGAGU
RNAcentral lists this ribosomal RNA (389 nucleotides) under uncultured soil bacterium. RNAcentral's name for it is "bacterial SSU rRNA". It matches the Rfam family "Bacterial small subunit ribosomal RNA", at positions 26 to 415 of the family's 1533-position model. The record is from RNAcentral.